Molecule: unclassified non-coding RNA, 753 nt
Filed under: Tolpis succulenta
Lineage: Eukaryota; Viridiplantae; Streptophyta; Magnoliopsida; Asterales; Asteraceae
Description: partial external transcribed spacer
Source: RNAcentral
ACCCCGAUCCCAAGCACCAAGGAGCCGACGAUUUGGAUCAAGUCCUACAUCCCAAGCACCAAGGUGCCUGGUUGAUUUGGAUCACGAUCCCGAUCCGGAGCUCCAGGGCGCCGAGGAUUUCGAUCAAGAUCCUGAUCUGAAGCACCAAGGAGCCGAGGAUAUGGAUCAAGACCCCGAUCUGAAGCGACAAGGAGGAAAGGAUUUACAUCAAGACUCCGAUCACAAGCACCAAGGCGCCGAGGAAUUGGAUCAAAGAUCCCGAUCCCAAUCAACAAGUAGGCUAUGUUAUUUUCUGUUUUCCACACCGUUCAGGGCAUUUUGGUGGUUGUAUCGGCUUUUUGUUGCUUGCUUGGCGUUAGUGCCAAGGGAGUGGCUGGAAGCUAGGUCGUCCUCUGGGAUGCUUGUUGUAAAGGUGUAUGAGUUGUGUUUGGCUUGUUACGGGUGUUUGUUGGCUGCUUGUGCAGGAACUUUCAUGCGUUCAAGCCUCUUCAGUUGUGCUACAAGGCGUUGUUUGUCUUGUGCUUACGGUGGGUUUCCUGUGUUGCAUACCUAAUCAAGGGCAUCGUAUGGCUCGAUCGAAGUACAUAUUCGUAAUGCGCCGCUUGCGGCAUUGAACGAACCUUGAAGCGGUCUCUGUGGCCCAUGUUGUCUUUGCUCACGCAUGGAUGGCAUGGCCCUCGGAGCGUCGUUUGGUCUCUUGGAUACGGAACCUGAUGAUGUGGGCGGUAGGGUCUUUGAUGAUUCUACCUUUGC